This 235-nucleotide long non-coding RNA is filed under the name Ananas comosus (pineapple). Its description in RNAcentral is "long non-coding RNA (ACOM_LNC021111)". Lineage: Eukaryota; Viridiplantae; Streptophyta; Magnoliopsida; Poales; Bromeliaceae. The record is from RNAcentral.
UAAAUAGAUUACCGCAUUUAUAUGCGGUGAACCAUUCACCACCUUUAUUCAAUAUACCCUAACCCCCGUCCGAACCCUUUUCCUUUCUCCCUCACUGGCCCCGCCCGAGCUCUCUCUGUCUCUCAUAGUGUCUCUCUCACUCUCCUUCACUCCUCUCUGUCUCCCUCACUCCGACACAACGAGUCCGACGCCGACGCCGACGCCGACGCCGCCGUCGCUGCCGCCGUCGCCGCCG